UACAGAGGGUGCGAGCGUUAAUCGGAAUUACUGGGCGUAAAGCGUGCGUAGACGGCUAUCUAAGUCGGGUGUGAAAGCCCCGGGCUCAACCUGGGAAUUGCAUUCGAGACUGAAUAGCUAGGGUACGGUAGAGGGAAGUGGAAUUUCCGGUGUAGCGGUGAAAUGCGUAGAUAUCAGGAGGAACACCGGUGGCGAAGGCGGGUCUCUGGGCCGAUACUGACGCUGAGGAGCGAAAGCGUGGGGAGCGAACAGG
Molecule: ribosomal RNA, 253 nt
Filed under: uncultured bacterium
Lineage: Bacteria
Description: partial 16S ribosomal RNA
Rfam family: Bacterial small subunit ribosomal RNA
Source: RNAcentral